CCUACGGGUGGCAGCAGUGAGGAAUAUUGGUCAAUGGGCUUACGCCUGAACCAGCCAAGUCGCGUGAGGGAAGACUGCCCUAUUGGUUGUAAACCUCUUUUGUCAGGGAGCAAUUGGCGCUACGUGUAGCGUUAUCGAGAGUACCUGAAGAAAAAGCAUCUGCUACCUCCGUGCCAGCAGCCGCGGUAAUACGGAGGAUGCGAGCGGUAUCCGGAUUUAUUGGGUUUAAGGGGUGCGUAGGCGGAAUGCCAAGUCAGCGGUAAACUCUCGGGGCUCAACCUCGCUCCGCCGGUGAAACUGGCGUGCUUGAGUGGGCGAGAAGUAUGCGGAAUGCGGGGUGUAGCGGUGAAAUGCAUAGAUAUCACGCAGAACUCCGAUUGCGAAGGCAGCAUACCGGCGCCCAACUGACGCUGAAGCACGAAAGCGUGGGGAGCAAACAGGAUUAGAUACCCCAGUAGUC
RNAcentral lists this ribosomal RNA (460 nucleotides) under uncultured bacterium. Its description in RNAcentral is "partial 16S ribosomal RNA". It matches the Rfam family "Bacterial small subunit ribosomal RNA", at positions 338 to 795 of the family's 1533-position model. The record is from RNAcentral.